This 243-nucleotide ribosomal RNA is filed under the name uncultured Actinomycetales bacterium. RNAcentral's name for it is "partial 16S ribosomal RNA". It matches the Rfam family "Bacterial small subunit ribosomal RNA", at positions 88 to 334 of the family's 1533-position model. Lineage: Bacteria; Bacillati; Actinomycetota; Actinomycetes; Actinomycetales. The record is from RNAcentral.
UACUCGAGUGGCGAACGGGUGAGUAACACGUGGGUUAUCUGCCCUGCACUUCGGGAUAAGCCUGGGAAACUGGGUCUAGUACCGGAUAGGAGCCAUUUUUAGUGUGAUGGUUGGAAAGUUUUUUCGGUGUAGGAUGAGCUCGCGGCCUAUCAGCUUGUUGGUGGGGUAAUGGCCUACCAAGGCGUCGACGGGUAGCCGGCCUGAGAGGGUGGACGGCCACAUUGGGACUGAGAUACGGCCCAG